Long non-coding RNA from Sorghum bicolor (sorghum), 1293 nucleotides. RefSeq lists it as uncharacterized. The transcript has 7 exons. The record is from RefSeq and is a predicted model, not a curated record. NCBI's taxonomy places the organism in Eukaryota, Viridiplantae, Streptophyta, Magnoliopsida, Poales, Poaceae.
GAUGCCCUCGGUCGCUGAUGCCCUCGCUGCCGAUGAGGCCAUCGAUUUCUCCGUAAUAAAGACGCUGGUGGACCUCUCGCCUGAGUACCUCAUCGGCGCCCCAGAUUCCGUGCGGGAGCGGGUGGCGCUCCGAGGCCUCGAGAAGCAUGGAACCUUCGCCGACGCCGCCAAAGGUGCUUCUGCAGUGGCGCCACCUCCGUCGAAGAUUCUUAGGGUUGACGCCGUCCGCUCUUGCGAGGACUUGCUGGUUGAGCUCACCGAGCAGGUUGGAAGCUCUGGAAUUCGGGAUAUAAUUAUGCCUUUUAGACAAGAUAUUCAAAACUUUAUUUGUAUCAAGAAACCUACACUACCAGAGUCUUCUUUGGAAUUGCUUAGAGAAGUGGACCCAGAGAUCCAAUCUAUGGCUGCAUCAUCAUCAGUGGAGCAGAAUGGUAUCAAGAAACACGACAAUCAUCAGUCCUUAUGCAAUGUCCACCAUCUUAACUCCAAUAUUGAUACACCUAGGCCCACUAUUGCCAGUACUGAGCUUCAGCCUGGGAAUUUAACAAAUUUAGUCAACAACCUUGAAAAAGGUAAUUUCAAGCAGUGUCCAGUCGAAUCAACUGUUGAUCUUGAUAAGCCACUUGAAACAGACAGAAGGACCUGGUGAUCUGUCUGAAUGUGGGAUCGUCGCAAUCUUGGCUCGAAAGGACCUGGUGAAUUCACGAAUUUGAGGGCUAUAAAGCUGUUGUUAUUUGUGUCCAGGCAUGUCAAGAUAAUAUUUUUGCUAUUAUGUGCUCUUUAGGAGAAGACCGGAGCUUUUGCAUGCUGUCAUCAACGAAUAGGAAGCUAUCAGAUCUUCCAAAGUUAAAAAACUUAGAACGCAAGAUAUUGGUGUUCUGAACCCAUAUGCAAUUCAUAUCUAAUUGCUUGCUGUGUUGCAGGCACAAAGUGUGAAGUGCAAAAAUAUUUUUGGAAUCAAAAUAUCCCAUAUCAAAUCUUACAGUUUACACAAAAAGCGAUUCAGUGGAUGUCGCCACACAGCUUGCCUGCCUCCUUGCAGUCUUCUCCAAGCUGGCUUUUCAGAUAGGUGGUGAUGGAUAUGCAGUGUGAAGUGAAGAAAGGAAAGACAACUAUGAGGUUACUAGGUGACUCAAGUUGUUCCGUUGAGUUUUCUUCUGAGAUCAUGCAUGCUUGCAAAUCAUAGUUUAGUUUGGAAUCCAUGGUCUUGAAUUAGCAUUGUAUCUUGAAUUGGAUUGUAACAAAACAAAAUUCUUGUGGUAUGAAUGUAUGCUACCGAUGUGCUCUUUUUUC